GACGAACGCUGGCGGCGUGCUUAACACAUGCAAGUCGAACGGAGCGAAUGAAAGCUUGCUUUUAUAAGCUUAGUGGCAAACGGGUGAGUAACACGUAGACAACCUGCCGACAGGAUGGGGACAACAUUCCGAAAGGAAUGCUAAUACCGAAUGAAGUGCAGGGGAGGCAUCUCCCCUGCAUGAAAGAUGGCCUCUGAAUAUGCUAUUACCUGUUGAUGGGUCUGCGUCUGAUUAGCUGGUAGGUGAGGUAACGGCUCACCUAGGCGACGAUCAGUAGCCGGUCUGAGAGGAUGAACGGCCACAUUGGGACUGAGACACGGCCCAGACUCCUACGGGAGGCAGCAGUGGGGAAUCUUCCGCAAUGGGCGCAAGCCUGACGGAGCAACGCCGCGUGAGUGAAGAAGGUCUUCGGAUCGUAAAGCUCUGUUGAUGGGGACGAACGUGCCUAAUGCGAAUAGUUUUAGGUAAGACGGUACC
This 477-nucleotide ribosomal RNA is filed under the name Centipeda noxia. RNAcentral's name for it is "bacterial SSU rRNA". It matches the Rfam family "Bacterial small subunit ribosomal RNA", at positions 28 to 479 of the family's 1533-position model. Lineage: Bacteria; Bacillati; Bacillota; Negativicutes; Selenomonadales; Selenomonadaceae. The record is from RNAcentral.